UCCGAACCCACGCACGUUGAAAAGUGCGGGGAUGAGGUGUGGGUAGCGGAGAAAUUCCAAUCGAACUUGGAGAUAGCUGGUUCUCUCCGAAAUAGCUUUAGGGCUAGCCUCGAGGUAAAGAGUCAUGGAGGUAGAGCACUGUUUGGACUAGGGGCCCUUCUCGGGUUACCGAAUUCAGAUAAACUCCGAAUGCCAUGUACUUAUACUCGGGAGUCAGACUGCGAGUGAUAAGAUCCGUAGUCGAAAGGGAAACAGCCCAGACCACCAGUUAAGGUCCCCAAAUAUAUGUUAAGUGGAAAAGGAUGUGGGGUUGCUUAGACAACCAGGAUGUUGGCUUAGAAGCAGCCACCAUUGAAAGAGUGCGUAAUAGCUCACUGGUCGAGUGACCCCGCGCCGAAAAUGUACCGGGGCUAAACAUAUUACCGAAACUGUGGAUGAACCUCUUUAGAGGUUCGUGGUAGGAGAGCGUUCUAAGGGCGGUGAAGUCAGACCGGAAGGACUGGUGGAGCGCUUAGAAGUGAGAAUGCCGGUAUGAGUAGCGAAAGAAGGGUGAGAAUCCCUUCCACCGAAUAUCUAAGGUUUCCUGAGGAAGGCUCGUCCGCUCAGGGUUAGUCGGGACCUAAGCCGAGGCCGAUAGGCGUAGGCGAUGGACAACAGGUAGAGAUUCCUGUACCAGUGCUAAUUGUUUAACCGAUGGGGUGACACAGAAGGAUAGGGAAUCGCACGAAUGGAAAUGUGCGUCCAAGCAGUGAGUGUGAGAAGUAGGCAAAUCCGCUUCUCGCGAAGCAUGAGCUGUGAUGGGGAAGGAAAUUAAGUACGGAAGUUCCUGAUUUCACGCUGUCAAGAAAAGCCUCUAGGAAGAGUAGUACUGCCCGUACCGCAAACCGACACAGGUAGAUGAGGAGAGAAUCCUAAGGUGAGCGAGAGAACUCUCGUUAAGGAACUCGGCAAAAUGACCCCGUAACUUCGGGAGAAGGGGUGCUCUAUUAGGGUGCAAGCCCGAGAGAGCCGCAGUGAAUAGGCCCAGGCGACUGUUUAGCAAAAACACAGGUCUCUGCAAAACCGUAAGGUGACGUAUAGGGGCUGACGCCUGCCCGGUGCUGGAAGGUUAAGAGGAGUGCUUAGCUUCGGCGAAGGUACGAAUUGAAGCCCCAGUAAACGGCGGCCGUAACUAUAACGGUCCUAAGGUAGCGAAAUUCCUUGUCGGGUAAGUUCCGACCCGCACGAAAGGCGCAACGAUCUGGGCACUGUCUCAACGAGAGACUCGGUGAAAUUAUAGUACCUGUGAAGAUGCAGGUUACCCGCGACAGGACGGAAAGACCCCGUGGAGCUUUACUGCAACCUGAUAUGGAAUGUUUGUACCGCUUGUACAGGAUAGGUAGGAGCCGAAGAGACGUGUGCGCUAGCAUACGAGGAGGCAAUGGUGGGAUACUACCCUGGCUGUAUGACCAUUCUAACCCGCCACGCUUAGCGCGUGGGGAGACAGUGUCAGGUGGGCAGUUUGACUGGGGCGGUCGCCUCCUAAAGAGUAACGGAGGCGCCCAAAGGUUCCCUCAGAAUGGAUGGAAAUCAUUCGCAGAGUGUAAAGGCACAAGGGAGCUUGACUGCGAGACUGACAAGUCGAGCAGGGACGAAAGUCGGGCUUAGUGAUCCGGUGGUUCCGCAUGGAAGGGCCAUCGCUCAACGGAUAAAAGCUACCCCGGGGAUAACAGGCUUAUCUCCCCCAAGAGUCCACAUCGACGGGGAGGUUUGGCACCUCGAUGUCGGCUCGUCGCAUCCUGGGGCUGUAGUCGGUCCCAAGGGUUGGGCUGUUCGCCCAUUAAAGCGGCACGCGAGCUGGGUUCAGAACGUCGUGAGACAGUUCGGUCCCUAUCCGUCGCGGGCGCAGGAAAUUUGAGAGGAGCUGUCCUUAGUACGAGAGGACCGGGAUGGACACACCGCUGGUGUACCAGUUGUUCCGCCAGGAGCAUCGCUGGGUAGCUAUGUGUGGCAGGGAUAAACGCUGAAAGCAUCUAAGCGUGAAGCCCCCCUCAAGAUGAGAUUUCCCAUUUCUUCGGAAAGUAAGAUCCCUGAAAGAUGAUCAGGUAGAUAGGUU
Molecule: ribosomal RNA, 2095 nt
Filed under: Listeria monocytogenes
Lineage: Bacteria; Bacillati; Bacillota; Bacilli; Caryophanales; Listeriaceae
Description: partial 23S ribosomal RNA
Rfam family: Bacterial large subunit ribosomal RNA
Source: RNAcentral